AUACGUACUGUGCGAACGUUAUUCGGAAUCACUGGGCUUAAAGGGUGUGUAGGCGGCCACGUAAGUAGGAUGUGAAAUCUCUCGGCUUAAUCGAGAAACUGCGUUCUAAACUGUGUGGCUUGAGUAAGAUAGGGGUGUGCGGAACCUCCGGUGGAGCGGUGAAAUGUGUUGAGAUCGGAGGGAACACCAGUAGCGAAGGCGGCACACUGGGUCUUAACUGACGCUGAGACACGAAAGCUAGGGUAGCGAACGGGAUUAGAAACCCUAGUAGUCCC
This 275-nucleotide ribosomal RNA is filed under the name uncultured bacterium. RNAcentral's name for it is "partial 16S ribosomal RNA". It matches the Rfam family "Bacterial small subunit ribosomal RNA", at positions 523 to 797 of the family's 1533-position model. The record is from RNAcentral.